RNAcentral lists this ribosomal RNA (765 nucleotides) under uncultured bacterium. RNAcentral's name for it is "bacterial SSU rRNA". It matches the Rfam family "Bacterial small subunit ribosomal RNA", at positions 1 to 780 of the family's 1533-position model. The record is from RNAcentral.
CUCAGUUUGAUCCCGGCUCAGGACGACCGCGGCGGCGUGCCUUAACACAUGCAAGUCGAGCCAAGCCCUUGAACUUCUUCGAACCAAGAGGGUGACUGAGCGGCGGACGGGUGAGUAACGCGUGGGUAAACCGCUCAUACAGGGGGAUAACAGUUAGAAAUGGCUGUAAUACCGCAUAAGCGCACAGCAUCGCAUGAUGCCGUGUGAAAAAAUUCCGGUGGUAUGAGAUGGACCCGCGUCUGAUUAGGUAGUUGGCGGGGUAACGGCCCACCAAGCCGACGAUCAGUAGCCGACCUGAGAGGGUGACCGGCCACAUUGGGACUGAGACACGGCCCAAACUCCUACGGGAGGCAGCAGUGGGGAAUAUUGCACAAUGGGCGAAAGCCUGAUGCAGCGACGCCGCGUGAGCGAAGAAGUAUCUCGGUAUGUAAAGCUCUAUCAGCAGGGAAGAAAAUGACGGUACCUGACUAAGAAGCCCCGGCUAACUACGUGCCAGCAGCCGCGGUAAUACGUAGGGGGCAAGCGUUAUCCGGAUUUACUGGGUGUAAAGGGAGCGUAGACGGAGAGGCAAGUCUGAUGUGAAAACCCGGGGCUCAACCCCGGGAGUGCAUUGGAAACUGUUUAUCUGGAGUGCCGGAGGGGUAAGUGGAAUUCCUAGUGUAGCGGUGAAAUGCGUAGAUAUUAGGAGGAACACCAGUGGCGAAGGCGGCUUACUGGACGGUAACUGACGUUGAGGCUCGAAAGCGUGGGGAGCAAACAGGAUUA